CCUACGGGAGGCAGCAGUAAGGAAUAUUGGACAAUGGUCGCAAGACUGAUCCAGCCAUGCCGCGUGCAGGAUGACGGCCCUAUGGGUUGUAAACUGCUUUUAUACGGGAAAAAACCCCUCUACGUGUAGAGGGCUGAUUGUACUGUAAGAAUAAGGAUCGGCUAACUCCGUGCCAGCAGCCGCGGUAAUACGGAGGAUCCAAGCGUUAUCCGGAUUCAUUGGGUUUAAAGGGUGCGUAGGCGGAAUAAUAAGUCAGUGGUGAAAGCCCUCAGCUUAACUGAGGAACUGCCAUUGAUACUGUUAAUCUUGAGUAUAUUUGAUGUGGGCGGAAUGUGUCAUGUAGCGGUGAAAUGCUUAGAUAUGACACAGAACACCGAUUGCGAAGGCAGCUCACAAAACUAUAACUGACGCUGAGGCACGAAAGCGUGGGUAUCAAACAGGAUUAGAUACCCUGGUAGUCCACGCUGUAAACUAUGAUUACUCGAUGUUUGCGAUACACUGUAAGCGUCUAAGCGAAAGCGAUAAGUAAUCCACCUGGGGAGUACGCCGGCACGGUGAAACUUAAUGAAUUGACCGGNUGAGAGNGCGACGGACGACGACGAGGGAGGAGG
RNAcentral lists this ribosomal RNA (611 nucleotides) under uncultured bacterium. RNAcentral describes it as "bacterial SSU rRNA". It matches the Rfam family "Bacterial small subunit ribosomal RNA", at positions 338 to 954 of the family's 1533-position model. The record is from RNAcentral.